UACGGGGGGGGCAAGCGUUGUUCGGAAUUACUGGGCGUAAAGGGCUCGUAGGUGGCCAACUAAGUCAGACGUGAAAUCCCUCGGCUUAACCGGGGAACUGCGUCUGAUACUGGAUGGCUUGAGUUUGGGAGAGGGACGCGGAAUUCCAGGUGUAGCGGUGAAAUGCGUAGAUAUCAGGAGGAACACCGAUGGCGAAGGCAGGUCUCUGGGCCGCAACUGACGCUGAGGAGCGAAAGCAUGGGGAGCGAACAGG
RNAcentral lists this ribosomal RNA (253 nucleotides) under uncultured bacterium. RNAcentral's name for it is "partial 16S ribosomal RNA". It matches the Rfam family "Bacterial small subunit ribosomal RNA", at positions 524 to 776 of the family's 1533-position model. The record is from RNAcentral.